Long non-coding RNA from Pipistrellus kuhlii (Kuhl's pipistrelle), 2028 nucleotides. RefSeq lists it as uncharacterized. NCBI's taxonomy places the organism in Eukaryota, Metazoa, Chordata, Mammalia, Chiroptera, Vespertilionidae. The record is from RefSeq and is a predicted model, not a curated record. The transcript is spliced from 2 exons.
AGGCCCACGGAGCCGCCCCGGAACGUGUUCCGGGAGGUCCCCUCAGUGCCUGUCCGCUGUUGGGGGAGGCGAGGGGAAGGGCCUCUCGGAGCCACAGCCUUACACGCGCCGUGCGGGAGCCAGCACGGACGAUUCGAGUGCCUUACUACUUACCAGUCCUUCAGUGUCGUCCUGGGUGUUGUGUUGUCCCGAAAUGACUUUAAAACAAAGCAAAUAUUUUAAUGAAUUAUUGGAGAGGACCUUUUCAUUUAAGCAUUAACAUCACUUCUGUGUUGGUGUGUGUGAGCUUGUUCUUGCGAAUCUGAUGGUAACAUUUGUUCUGUGAGCUGGAAGCAGAAGAAAACCGUGCCCUUGGAUACCCGUAGCCAAUAACUGGAAGAAAAUGAUGUGAAUUUUCAUGUAAAUUACCAGAGGAAUAUGGAUGAGAUGCUCAUUUCUCAUAUAGACCUUGUUCUUUUUUUCUUUUUUAAUCUGCUAUGUGGUGGAGCUGUAAUUUGGUCCUCGAUUUUGAGGAUGUGGUGGAUGGAGGUUUCCAGUUUGGUUCAAGCGAAAACCAGGACAGAUUCUAGCUUCGACCUCCUAUGUGUUUUGCUCUUUCAGCAUUAGACAUACUAGUUCCUGUUCAAGUUCCAAGACCUUUGUUCUUAGAAGAGUUACCGUGUCAAUUUAAUCUAUGGAGGACAUACACAGGUGUCCUGUAUCUGAUUUCCCCUUCGGUAUAUAUAUUAUUAAUAUUAUUAUUAUUAUUAUUUUUAGUUCAUCAGUUUGCUGGUCUCUGCAGUAAGCAGAAACAAAUGGGCAAUAUUUGUCCUGGAGACCCGGGUGCCCCAGGUCCUCGCUAAGCGUCUGCCCGCCCGCAGCUCCCUGCCCCUCGCCGGGGGCUCUUCUACUGUACCCGACAAGCCUUCCUUCGGCCGCAGCAGCGCGGGGAGAGAGCAGGUGGGGAGGGCCCGCUCACCGGUGUCUGCCCACCCAGCCAGGCCCACCCGCGUGUGCUACUGUCAUUUGCAAGGCGAGGAAAUACUACUACUGGUGAUAAAGCUGCACAUGCGAGAUAGAAGAUGAGAAAUGGAUUUAUAUUUACCUUCCUGCAAUUUGGAAUUGGUGCUUGAAGAUAGACUUGUUUCCAGUUUCUGAAAUAACCUGAACCCCUGGGUGCAAAAAAGGCAGGAUUCUUUUUUUUUUUUUCUUUUUUUCUUUUGUGAGCAUCCUAAGCAGGCAAUACACUUCCUACUGUAGCUGAGCCUGUCUCAGCAUCCUGUCUGCCACUGGGACCCCAGGACACCUGAGGCCCAGCGCUGGGCCUCCUCGCUGCUCCACCCUCACAUCCCCAGGACCCCCCCUCCCCCUCCCAGGACCUCCUUCCCUCAGUGAGUGUGCAGACAGGACACAGACCCUUCCUCACCAGUUUCUGGCAGCCAAAAUCCAACCAUCCAGACUUCAAAGGAAGACGUGUGUUCUCAAAAUAACAAAAAGUGGUAUCUUUGCAUGUGAAAGGAAAGAAGUUGAGGGCUUUUACAAAAAAAAUAUAUAUAUAUGGAUCUUCUGAAACGUUUUUUGAGGUGCAAGUUUUUCCCUUGUUUUUCUCUUUGAUUUGUGGACACAAUGCUGAGAGUCAAUCACUACAUGAAACUCUGGCUGUGAGAAGCAACAAACCCCAAAGGGCUGACCUCCCCGCGGCUGGGGACGCUCUGUGGCAGUCGAUGAUUCGUAGUACCUUCGCCCUCUGUUCGCCGCCUCCUGUCCUCUUUUCUUCAAGAAGGAAGUGAUCCUAGUGAUUUCAGCCCAUGCAUUACACAGGAAACAAUAAUAAAUGUAGAGUUCAUAUUUUUCUAAAGGGAACUUAAAAACUGCUGCUACAUGUUAUGUACAAACUGGUUUAUGCCACAUGAACAGAAUCACAAGAUUAGUUUUGGUACUUUUGUUCCUCUUUGUAUUCAGUUGUAUAAUACUUCCAAAUUCAAAAUGAGAAGAAAAGCUGUUCUGUAUCAAACCAUCUAAGCAAUAAAUGUUAUAUUUUAAAAACGA